This 459-nucleotide ribosomal RNA is filed under the name uncultured bacterium. Its description in RNAcentral is "partial 16S ribosomal RNA". It matches the Rfam family "Bacterial small subunit ribosomal RNA", at positions 338 to 795 of the family's 1533-position model. The record is from RNAcentral.
CCUACGGGGGGCAGCAGUGAGGAAUAUUGGUCAAUGGGCGCGAGCCUGAACCAGCCAAGUCGCGUGAGGGAAGACGGUCCUAUGGAUUGUAAACCUCUUUUGUCGGGGAGCAAAAGACGCCACGCGUGGCGUUCCGAGAGUACCCGAAGAAAAAGCAUCGGCUAACUCCGUGCCAGCAGCCGCGGUAAUACGGAGGAUGCGAGCGUUAUCCGGAUGUAUUGGGGUUAAAGGGUGCGCAGGCGGAAGAUAAAGUCGGCGGGAAAAUUGAGAGGCUCAACCUCGUCGAGCCGUUGAAACUGGUUUUCUUGAGUGAUGGAGAAGUAGGCGGAAUGCGUGGUGUAGCGGUGAAAUGCAUAGAUAUCACGCAGAACUCCGAUUGCGAAGGCAGCAUACCGGCGCUCAACUGACGCUCAUGCACGAAAGUGUGGGUAUCGAACAGGAUUAGAUACCCUUGUAGUC